UCCCGAGGGUGGGGCGGGGGCAAGUGUCAGUCAGGGCAGAGCGCGGCGCGGGCAGCGGAGACCCGUGGCAGACAGGCAUCCGGGCCGGAACGAGGCCUGCAGAGAUGGAGUUCCUGCUGGGGAAUCCGUUCAGCACCCCUGUAGGGCAAUGUCUUGAAAAGGCCACGGAUGGCUCCCUGCAGAGCGAGGACUGGACACUGAACAUGGAGAUCUGUGACAUCAUCAAUGAGACAGAAGAAGGGCCAAAGGAUGCCAUUCGAGCACUAAAGAAGCGGCUCAGCGGGAACCGGAACUACAGAGAAGUGAUGUUGGCCCUGACGGUGCUGGAGACUUGUGUGAAGAACUGUGGCCACCGCUUUCACCUCCUCGUAGCCAACCGAGACUUCAUCGACAGCGUUCUGGUCAAAAUUAUCUCUCCCAAGAAUAACCCUCCCACUAUCGUCCAGGACAAAGUGCUUGCUCUAAUUCAGGCGUGGGCAGAUGCCUUUAGGAGCAGUCCUGACCUCACUGGCGUUGUGCACAUAUAUGAAGAACUGAAGAGGAAGGGAGUUGAAUUUCCCAUGGCAGACUUGGAUGCUCUGUCUCCUAUCCACACACCCCAGCGGAGUGUCCCAGAAAUGGAUCCAGCUGCCACUGUGCCCAGGUCCCAGUCGCAGCCCCGGACAAGUGCCGGCACCUACCCCUCACCUUCUCCAGCCUCCUACUCUAUGCUUCAGGCUCCAGCCCUGAGUGUGACUGGCCCCAUCACAGCCAAUUCCGAACAGAUUGCUAGGCUGCGCAGUGAACUGGACAUUGUUCGGGGAAACACAAAAGUCAUGUCUGAGAUGUUAACAGAAAUGGUCCCCGGGCAGGAGGAUUCUUCUGAUCUGGAACUGCUCCAGGAAUUGAACAGGACCUGCCGGGCCAUGCAGCACCGCAUAGUGGAACUCAUCUCCCGAGUGUCCAAUGAGGAGGUCACCGAGGAGUUGCUGCACGUCAACGAUGACCUCAACAACGUCUUCCUCCGCUAUGAGAGGUUCGAGAGGUACCGAUCUGGCCGAUCUGCUCAGAAUGCCAGCAAUGGAGUACUGAGUGAAGUGACUGAAGACAACCUAAUAGACCUGGGCCCUGGCUCCCCUGCUGUGGUGAGCCCCAUGGUAGGGAGCACAGCACCCCCAUCUUCUCUCUCCUCCCAACUCGCAGGCUUGGACUUGGGAACAGAGACUGUCAGUGGCACCCUCAGCUCACUGCAACAGUGUAAGCCUCAUGAUGGCUUCGACAUGUUUGCCCAGACCAGAGGGAACUCCUUGGCUGAACAGCGAAAGACGGUCACCUAUGAGGAUCCUCAGGCUGUUGGAGGACUUGCCUCUGCUCUAGACAAUCGGAAACAGAGCUCAGAAAUGAGAGGGAAAGGUGGGGAUUGUGACCUGCAGCCCAUAGACAGCUGGCUCAUGACCCAAGGAAUGGUGAGGAGCCAUAGCUGAGUGAGCUCGCUGCCCACCCCAGCCCCUCACUGUGUAACAGUCGGCACCUUCCUCUUGCCACCUGCCCAGUCCUUGUGACCAGACAGGACAGAGAUCACUCACUUGUUCUGGGGGUGCCAAUCUCCCCUCCUGUCUACGCAGAGUCUCCGUAAGGCCCCAGACUUCCAGCUCCAGAAACACCUUCCCUGACUGAGCCUGCGCUCCCGGAUCUUCGUGGACUGGGAUGUUUGCAGGCACGAGGGGAGGGUCUUUCCCUUCUCUCACAGACUCUGGAGUUCUCGGCAGUAUUCGUUUUUCCAGGAUGAGCAUCAGUAAUCGUGGCGUGUGCUCAGGAGGGGACCAUUAAGAGAGGGCUCAGCAUGUGGCCAGUCAGAGAGGCUCCCUCUUACUCAGGCCUGGGAAUUUGGCAGUCCUAGGCUUGGUGGGCUUUUAUACUGUAAUGGUGCCUCACAAAUGGCCUGAGACCUCUUGCAUAAAUAUAUAGAUGACAGUAACAGAGCCAAAGAAAUCAAGCCAGGAGAGCCUGUAUCACGCUUACAGUCCACUCUGUGGCUUGGGAGUGCCUUUCCCACCAUAUCUGUGCAGUUGGCCCUGAGCUGGGUGCAUGAAGAGAGGGUCCCAAGCUGCUUGCCUCAGUUGGACCAUUUCAUCCUUAAGUGCAGAAUCAAGCCUCUAGGUGUGUGUGGUAGGGAUGGAGCAGGUGAGGCUACAAAGAAAUGACGGGAAUAGACAUGUGGACUUCUGCCCUCCAGAUAAAUGCGGUGAGCCAAAUGUAGAACUCACCCUUGACGUCAGGCCAGGAGAGGGGUCCCGUAGGACUUCCAAGUGACAAGCUGUUUGCAGUACAGGGGCCACCUGCUUGAGAAAGGCUUAAGCUAGGGGUACAGACAGGGUCUGGAGACCAGUGCAGCGGGUGCCCAAGCUGUCCCCUCCCACAGCAGUGUACACUUGCCCUUAGUGAGAAAGCAGUUGUUCCUGCAAGUGGGGACUGGCCAGGCCCUUCAUUUUCUUCUUUUAGGUCACACUGGGCCCUGGCCUUAGAGCAGGCUUCAUAAAAUUAUAUCUCCAUUGUCCAAACAGAGACAUUCUAACUGUGUGCCCUGUGCCUGUUAGCCCUGCAAAAAAGGAUACUGCCCGCCAAACUACCUGAGUGUGACCUGGGCAGCUGGUGAUGGUGCCUGUCUUUGUCCACACAAGUCGACUUUCCUCUUCCCUGUCCCUGCAUAGAGCGCCAGUCUUCGGUUUCCUAGAAACAAACCCAACUAACAGCUAACUUGGUAUCUUCCCCUUCCUGCCUACAGUUUGUUUUCCUUUUAAAACAGUGUGUGUUAGCUGCUUUGCUUAUUUCCCGUAGUAUGGAAGUCCUACCCUCCCCAACCUGCCAAGUACAAAUUCUUCAUAUGGAAACUGUGUACUACUGAGUGAGACCAGGGGCUCUAGACUAUCUUUCCCACUGGGUCUGGGUGAAGUAUCACAAAUAGAGUUUCACGGCUCCUCUAGAGAUAGCACCCAGUACAGACCUGCACCAUCGGGCAGGUAGGUCUCUUCGUGUGCCUGGAGCUGGGGACAGCUGUGGAAGGGUGUCUACUCGUUCUUUCUUCUCCUGGGACUUCAGGUGUGAGGGCAGCCUGCAGUUAGGCCACUGCAGCAGGUGCAUUGGCAAGUAAAGGUAAGCAAGAUCUGGCUUGAGCCCAGGGUCAGCAGCCUUCCCUUCUCUCCCUCCCUGACCCUCCUGUCUUUUCUGUUACUUGUGGCUGGUGAUCAGUUAGGAGGUAUAAGCAGGGAAAAUCAGAGAAUAAAAGCAUGCCUCGGUCUUAGCACUGGACAGGCUGAUAUAGGAGGCUCCUGGUGUGAUCCAGCCUGGGCUACACAGAGACCAGCCCAAGCUGAAUAAUGGGACCCUGUCUUACACAUACUUGCAUAAAACCAUGUCAACAACAAUAAUAGUGACAAGAACAGAAGUUGUAGACCCUGAGGUCCUCUGUUGAUCCCUAACACCAGAGGUGCAGGACAAGGAAGAACAACAGCAGUGGGUUAUAAAAGACAGGGCCAGGGCCGAAGAGAUGGCUCAGUGGUUAAAAGUACAUACCGCUCCUGUAGAGAACCCAGGUUCAGUUGCCAGCACCCACAUUGGGCAGCUCACAAUGGCCUGUAACUACAGCUGCAGAGAAUCUGGUGCCCUCUUCUGGCCUCCAUGAGCACCUGCACUUACAUGAACAUACCCCUCAUACAAAUACACACACACACACACACACACACGAUGAAAAGUAAAAACAGGUAAGUAAAAAACCCUACUGCUGCUGUCAGAGGCUGAUGCUAGUUAUCUCCACUCUGUAACUCUGGCACACUAUCAGACGUAGGACACCAAAGGUGAAAACAAACAAAAGACUGACUGGGCCGUGCCAGUGCCUCACCUCUUUCUUGUUCCUAAGGUGGAGUGACCCAUAGGUGCCAACAACAGGACUUCUGCCCACCACCCAGAUCCUAACUUGCCUAACUUGGCAUCAGAGAUGGGCUGGGUAUUGUUACCAGGGCUCCAGCCUGGCUGCUCUUUUCACAGGCAGCAACAUUUGGGCUUGGUGUUUAUGGGAGGGUGUUCAGGGUAGAGUCCUUUCUCUUCGUAUCCAUUCUCCGUCUCCCUCAUCACUCUUUAUAACCUCCUGUAACAGCCUGUAGCUUGGAUCACUGUCCAAGAAGAUGCUAAAACCAUGACAGAAUGGCUAAAAGCUUUCCAGAGAUCUGAUGGAUGAGCCAAUAAGGGUUAGAUGUUAGACCCCGAAGUCCCAGGACAGAAACACACCGAGACUUCUUGCCAUGCCCCCUUCCUCUAUCAGCAGGAGAGGGACUUGUUUCUCCCUCUUUCUGGGCCUCUGCAGGUCUAUUUUCCAGUCAGUGUACGUGUUAAGAUUGGGUCUGGCUAUACCUGUGUGAUGAGAGCGAGGCUCUGCCUGCUUCCCAGAGCUGGUUCAUAGCUAUGCUUCUGCAUCCAGUCACCUGCCUUCCAUCACAUAAGCCUAGCCGAGAAAUAGCACCCUAGCUCCUCAGAACGUGCCCUGAGGCCCAAGAGACUCAGUUCCUGUGACUAGACUCCCUUGGGUGUCUAUGUUAGAAUAUAGAAACACAAACCUGGACCAUGAGGGAUCCUGACUCAGAAUGUUCGUGUUAGACUCAGAAUGCCACAUUACAGUCACCCUGUUCACAGGUGAGGAGAUGGAGGCCACGCCUUGUUGAAAUGCCCAGGCCAACUCCUUCACCUUCUGCCACAUAACUGAGACUUCUAAGACAGAAGAGGCUGGCUCCCCGAUUGAAGAAAGGCGCAGAGAGAAGUGACUUGCCCCAGGCCUACAGCUGGACAGUGUGGUCCAGGUGGAGCCCAGCCCCAUUUUUGUCUUGCUUUGCUGCCAUUGCAGGGAUGUGUUCAGCUGUUUGCAGAUGUUUAUGAUGUGUACUAAACCUAAAGCUUCACACAUGAUCCCCGUUGCGCAGCCCUCUGUCAUGGACGACAUUGAGGUGUGGCUCAGGACAGACCUG
This is an RNA transcript of Alexandromys fortis (reed vole), 4994 nucleotides long. It is a transcript of the gene named target of myb1 like 2 membrane trafficking protein, with no coding region annotated. The transcript has 14 exons. The record is from RefSeq and is a predicted model, not a curated record. NCBI's taxonomy places the organism in Eukaryota, Metazoa, Chordata, Mammalia, Rodentia, Cricetidae.